UAGGGAAUCUUCGGCAAUGGACGAAAGUCUGACCGAGCAACGCCGCGUGAGUGAAGAAGGUUUUCGGAUCGUAAAACUCUGUUGUUAGAGAAGAACAAGGACGUUAGUAACUGAACGUCCCUUGACGGUAUCUAACCAGAAAGCCACGGCUAACUACGUGCCAGCAGCCGCGGUAAUACGUAGGUGGCAAGCGUUGUCCGGAUUUAUUGGGCGUAAAGCGAGCGCAGGCGGUUUCUUAAGUCUGAUGUGAAAGCCCCCGGCUCAACCGGGGAGAGUCAUUGGAAACUGGGAGACGUGAGUGCAGAAGAGGAGAGUGGAAUUGCAUGUGUGGCGGUGAAAUGCGUAGAUAUAUGGAGGAACACCAGUGGCGAAGGCGGCUCUCUGGUCUGUAACUGACGCUGAGGCUAGAAAGGGUGGGGAGCAAACAGG
RNAcentral lists this ribosomal RNA (429 nucleotides) under Gemmatimonadota bacterium. Its description in RNAcentral is "Gemmatimonadetes bacterium partial 16S ribosomal RNA". It matches the Rfam family "Bacterial small subunit ribosomal RNA", at positions 355 to 776 of the family's 1533-position model. Lineage: Bacteria; Pseudomonadati; Gemmatimonadota. The record is from RNAcentral.